This is a non-coding RNA of Potamilus streckersoni, 73 nucleotides long. The record is from the annotation of a GenBank genome assembly. Lineage: Eukaryota; Metazoa; Mollusca; Bivalvia; Unionida; Unionidae.
GCUUCAGUGGCCUAGUGGUUAGAGAAUCCACCUUGAAUGUGGAAGGUCACAUGUUCAAAGCCUGGCUGAAUCA